AUAUAUUCGGGNGACNCGCUGGCCGGCGUUGUUUAACACAUGACACGUCGAACGGAAAGGCCCUGCUUUUGUGGGGUGCUCGAGUGGCGAACGGGUGAGUAACACGUGAGUAACCUGCCCUUGACUUUGGGAUAACUUCAGGAAACUGGGGCUAAUACCGGAUAGGAGCUCCUGCUGCAUGGUGGGGGUUGGAAAGUUUCGGCGGUUGGGGAUGGACUCGCGGCUUAUCAGCUUGUUGGUGGGGUAGUGGCUUACCAAGGCUUUGACGGGUAGCCGGCCUGAGAGGGUGACCGGCCACAUUGGGACUGAGAUACGGCCCAGACUCCUACGGGAGGCAGCAGUGGGGAAUAUUGCACAAUGGGCGGAAGCCUGAUGCAGCAACGCCGCGUGCGGGAUGACGGCCUUCGGGUUGUAAACCGCUUUCGCCUGUGACGAAGCGUGAGUGACGGUAAUGGGUAAAGAAGCACCGGCUAACUACGUGCCAGCAGCCGCGGUGAUACGUAGGGUGCGAGCGUUGUCCGGAUUUAUUGGGCGUAAAGGGCUCGUAGGUGGUUGAUCGCGUCGGAAGUGUAAUCUUG
This 578-nucleotide ribosomal RNA is filed under the name uncultured bacterium. Its description in RNAcentral is "bacterial SSU rRNA". It matches the Rfam family "Bacterial small subunit ribosomal RNA", at positions 18 to 604 of the family's 1533-position model. The record is from RNAcentral.